CACGGGAGGCAGCAGUGGGGAAUUUUGGACAAUGGGCGAAAGCCUGAUCCAGCAAUGCCGCGUGAGUGAAGAAGGCCUUCGGGUUGUAAAGCUCUUUUGUCAGGGAAGAAACGGUGAGAGCUAAUAUCUCUUGCUAAUGACGGUACCUGAAGAAUAAGCACCGGCUAACUACGUGCCAGCAGCCGCGGUAAUACGUAGGGUGCAAGCGUUAAUCGGAAUUACUGGGCGUAAAGCGUGCGCAGGCGGUUUUGUAAGUCUGAUGUGAAAUCCCCGGGCUCAACCUGGGAAUUGCAUG
RNAcentral lists this ribosomal RNA (295 nucleotides) under uncultured bacterium. Its description in RNAcentral is "partial 16S ribosomal RNA". It matches the Rfam family "Bacterial small subunit ribosomal RNA", at positions 340 to 627 of the family's 1533-position model. The record is from RNAcentral.